RNAcentral lists this ribosomal RNA (254 nucleotides) under uncultured bacterium. RNAcentral describes it as "partial 16S ribosomal RNA". It matches the Rfam family "Bacterial small subunit ribosomal RNA", at positions 524 to 776 of the family's 1533-position model. The record is from RNAcentral.
UACGUAGGGUGCGAGCGUUUGUCCGGAAUUAUUGGGCGUAAAGAGCUCGUAGGUGGUUUGUCGCGUUGUUCGUGAAAACCGGGGGCUUAACCCUCGGCGUGCGGGCGAUACGGGCAGACUUGAGUACUGCAGGGGAGACUGGAAUUCCUGGUGUAGCGGUGGAAUGCGCAGAUAUCAGGAGGAACACCGGUGGCGAAGGCGGGUCUCUGGGCAGUAACUGACGCUGAGGAGCGAAAGCGUGGGGAGCGAACAGG